UUAUAAAGUAACCUGGUACAGUAGCUUCUCUGAAUUCAUUAGCAUUGACCACUGUCACACAAUAUCAACAUGUCAAAACCAGACAGUGGUUACUUCUCUUUAUCUAGUUUCUGUCUGACUCAGACCCAGCCUGCAAGCCCACUCUCACAACAGCGAGGGCCUAACCACAAAGACUAAUAUAGUUGCCUGUACAACGAAUAGUGGCAGAGUUUAGACACAUAGAAGCACUAUCUAUUAUAAGUAUCUAUUAUAUAUAUUGAUGGAUGGUAUAGGUCUCACACUCUGCUGGUAUUGAUGGAUGGUAUAGGUCUCACUCUGCUGGUAUUGAUGACUGGUAUAGGUCUCACUCUGCUGGUAUUGAU
This is a long non-coding RNA of Oncorhynchus tshawytscha (Chinook salmon), 362 nucleotides long. NCBI's taxonomy places the organism in Eukaryota, Metazoa, Chordata, Actinopteri, Salmoniformes, Salmonidae. The record is from Ensembl.